CGUCUAUAUACGUAUAGCAUAUCAAUAAGCGGAGGAAAAGAAACUAACAAGGAUUCCCUUAGUAACGGGCGAGUGAAGCGGGAAGAGCUCAAAUUUGAAAUCUUCAAGGUUUUACCUUGACGAAUUGUAGUUUAAAGAAGUGUUUUCUGUUGAAGUUUUGGUAAAAGUUCUUUGGAAUAGGACAUCAUAGAGGGUGAGAAUCCCGUAUUUGACCAUUAUUUUCAGCUGUGUGAUACACUCUCAAAGAGUCGGAUUGUUUGGGAAUGCAGUCCAAAAUGGGUGGUAAAUUUCAUCUAAAGCUAAAUAUUGGCGAGAGACCGAUAGCGAACAAGUACCGUGAGGGAAAGAUGAAAAGAACUUUGAAAAGAGAGUUAAACAGUACGUGAAAUUGUCAAAAGGGAAGCGUUUGACACCAGUGUUGUUUUUCCGAAAAUCAAUUAAGAGUGGCUUGAUUUUGUGUUGUAUUGACCUUAUCAGCUUUCUUCACUCUUUUUCGAGUCUUUCUUAAUGCACUUUUCGGUUAACAAGUCAACAUCAAUUUCUUUUGUUGUAAAAGGGUAUUUGGAAGGUGGCUUUCUUUUCGGAGAAAGUGUUUAUAGCCUUAUACCUCUACAAUCGGAGAGAUUGAGGUCUGCAGCGUAGAUCCUUCGGGGCUAGAUACACUUGUGCUAAGUUAUAGCUUUUCAUAGACAACUUGUUGACUAUGUUUAGUCAUGUAGCUUACCCGCUUAGUGCUAUUUUACCUACGCUUAGGAUGUUGAGUCAUCACACAUCUCU
This 777-nucleotide ribosomal RNA is filed under the name uncultured Neocallimastigales. Its description in RNAcentral is "partial large subunit ribosomal RNA". It matches the Rfam family "Eukaryotic large subunit ribosomal RNA", at positions 26 to 614 of the family's 3401-position model. Lineage: Eukaryota; Fungi; Neocallimastigomycota; Neocallimastigomycetes; Neocallimastigales. The record is from RNAcentral.